GACGAACGCUGGCGGCGUGCUUAACACAUGCAAGUCGAACGGUAAGGCCCUUCGGGGUACACGAGUGGCGAACGGGUGAGUAACACGUGGGUGAUCUGCCCUGCACUUCGGGAUAAGCCUGGGAAACUGGGUCUAAUACCGGAUAGGACCACUGCCUGCAUGGGUGGUGGUGGAAAGCUUUUGCGGUGUGGGAUGGGCCCGCGGCCUAUCAGCUUGUUGGUGGGGUGAUGGCCUACCAAGGCGACGACGGGUAGCCCGCCUGAGAGGGUGACCGGCCACACUGGGACUGGGAUACGGCCCAGACUCCUACGGGAGGCAGCAGUGGGGAAUAUUGCACAAUGGGCGCAAGCCUGAUGCAGCGACGCCGCGUGAGGGAUGACGGCCUUCGGGUUGUAAACCUCUUUCAGCACCGACGAAGCGUAAGUGACGGUAGGUGCAGAAGAAGGACCGGCCAACUACGUGCCAGCCGCCGCGGUAA
Molecule: ribosomal RNA, 478 nt
Filed under: uncultured bacterium
Lineage: Bacteria
Description: partial 16S ribosomal RNA
Rfam family: Bacterial small subunit ribosomal RNA
Source: RNAcentral